GAAGGAUUUGGGUCCUGGCUAAUGAGUGGGUGGGGAUGGAAAGGGCAAGUCUUUGCCCCCAGUUUGCUGGUAGACGCUAAGUAACUGGAGAGGAAGUUGGGGGGAUCCCUGCCCAGAACCCACCUUGAGGGAGACCUGAGAUCGCAGAGGAAACGAAAAGACCUUAAGGGAGGGAAUGUGGUUGGCAUGUGGUGUCGAGGGGCACUGGGGUGGGUAUCUUUGGCCAGCGUGUGUUGGGGUGGGGGUGGGGAACGCGAGUAGCUGGGAUCGGGGAAGGAAGGCCGCUGGGUCCUCAGCCUCGGUGUGUGCGGUGUGGGGUGGUGGAGAAGCCCCACUAACAGCGCGGAGGGCCCGGGACCCACACGUGUGGUGGUGGGGGUGGGGCUCGCGGGGCCUGGCGAUUAUCUGGAAGGAAGCCUGGGGUCCCCCACUCUGUGGACGCGUCUAUGGUGUACCGGAGGCAGCACAAAUACGAGUCUCCGCCGCGUGCCAGGGGCCGGGGGUCCCCCAGACUAACGUGCGCGGUGAGAUGCCGGGUCUCGAUCUGGAAGGGGCCGCCGGGUCCCCAACCCCGGAGGGCUGCUGAACGCCGGAGCCUUACAACUGUUAAACUCAGGCAGAGCUCGGGAAAUGCUGCCCGGAUGGGUGACUGAUGGAGAGGGGCUACCACUCUUCCAGCUAAACUCCGCUCUGGUUGGGACCCAGCAAUUAUUUUCCAUAGCGAAGUGUUAAUAAAAUAUCUGUUACUCCCAACACAACCUCCUGGGGGAAGGGACCUGUCUGUCUGCUUCAACUUUGGAUCCUCAGUGCCCACAUCAGGAUACCUGGCCUGAGAGCAUCCGGUGACCCAGUUUUAGGUCUCAAGGUCACUGCCAAGAAAGAGAAGCUGCUAAAGUGACACCUCUGUGCACCCACAUGACUUAACACAAAAGUUAACAGGAGCUCUUCAAAAACAAGCCUCUCGAGUGUCUGUCUCCUGUUUUCCCUGAGGACAGCAUCAGUGGCAUCAGAUAGGGGUUGGGGCUGGGUGACCUGCUGGUCCUCAGCCAUCACUGUGGCCCAGAGGUCAUUUAAGCAGCUCUCUGCUUAGCAGACAGGCAGAGGGAAUAGAUGGAAGGUACAGGUAAACACUGCAUGUGGCCACCGCGAGGAUACCCCGGAGCCUGGGAAACAGACAGGGACGUCGUAAAACCAACACAUAAUGGACCAGUGCAGAGACAGGCAAAACCAGUCAGAAGAAAUAGGAUGGUGCCUAGCCCAGGGACACCUGACUUAAGAGAGGGUCCUGCCGGUAUUACCCUGGAGGAAGGAAUGCUGCACAGAGGCCGAGAGGAAUUUGAACAGACUGGCCUUGCUGGGUUUUUAUCUCUUUUUGUCCAAUCCCAUUUUGACACAGUUGUCCAUGCUCCAAUCAUGCUUAUCCAAUGAAGUUUCCAUAACAGGCCUGAGAGGACAGGGUUCAGGAGCUUCCGGACAGCUGAGCAGGUGGAGGUUCCUGGAGGGUGGUGUGCCAGGGAGGGUGUGGAAGCUCUGCCCCUUCCCCCAUACCUUGUCCUAUGCAUUCCUUUAUCUGCAUCCUUCAUUUUAUUUUAUUUUUUUUUGAGACGGAGUCUUGCUCUUGUCGUCCAGGCUGGAAUGCAGUGGUGCGCGA
RNAcentral lists this long non-coding RNA (1651 nucleotides) under Homo sapiens (human). RNAcentral's name for it is "HSALNT0290410". Lineage: Eukaryota; Metazoa; Chordata; Mammalia; Primates; Hominidae. The record is from RNAcentral.